This 4484-nucleotide long non-coding RNA is filed under the name Sus scrofa (pig). RNAcentral's name for it is "lncRNA (ENSSSCG00055001541.1, ENSSSCG00110038879.1)". Lineage: Eukaryota; Metazoa; Chordata; Mammalia; Artiodactyla; Suidae. The record is from RNAcentral.
ACAUCCCUCCCUUCUGGAGAAAAGCUACAAGAUAAGAGAGAAGAAAGAAGUUCAAAUUUUGUUUAGUGUUUGUGUUAGGAUUAGAGUUGGCUGUGAGUAAUAGAAAAUCCAUUUAACAGUUGAUUUGAUAAAACAGCUUUUUUUUUUUUUUUUUUAAACUGUAAGAAAUCUGGAGGCAGUAGACAGUUAAGGGUGGCUGUCCUCAUCCUUCUCCUAUCAUUUUUCACUACCGUUCUUUUCCUGGCCUCUGUUUAUCUCAUGGUGACAGUAUGGCUGCUGUAGCUCCAGUCAUCAUGUCUACAUGUAGCAGGAAGAAGGGGAAAGGGGCAAGGACAGAUUCAGUAGGUGAACAGAUAAAUAAACUGUAAUGUAUCCAUACAGUGAAAUUUUAGCCAGCAUUAAGUAAAAAUGAGCUACUGAUUCAUACAACAGGGAUACGUCUCAAAUUCAUUUUGCUAAAUGCAAGAAGAUGUGUGAUUUCACUUAUGUAACAUUUUGGAAAAGACACCACUAGAAGAACAGACAGAUCAGUGGUUGGGAGGAACUAGAAUGGAGGGACGUGCAGACUGCAAAGGGACAAGAGAAUUUGCGGGGGGGUGGGAUGACGAUAUUUUGAUUGUGGUGGAUAAGCUCCCUCUAUGCAUUUGCCAGUACUCAAGGAACCAUUCACUAAAAAGGCUAAAAUCAACCAUAUCUUUUAGGUCAGUUAUUUGAGGGUGGGAUGGAGUCAGGUAGCUGGAAGUCCUAAUGUGUAGUGCUUGCCUAUAUGGUGUUUUCCCAUCACUGCCGAUUUCAAGAUGCCAACAGUCUAACAGCUGUGCAAAAUUCCUGAAAAUUGGUGGGAUAUGCUGCUGAAUACUGUGUACAAAUUAUACCUCAAUAAAUCUGACUUUUUAAAAAAGUGCACUUUCCAAGGAGCCUGGCCUAAAAAUCUUGGCUCUCUACUCUUAACUGUGUCCAAAGUUGAAAAAGGAAUUCUUCUACUGGGAACAUGUUCCCCCACCCCCCAAAAAAAUCAAGGUUCUGAUACUUCAUGCAGCCCCUGGAGUCAAAGCAGCAGCUUCUUUUAUUUUUUUAAAUUGAAGUAUAGUUGAUUUACAGUGUUGUGUUAGUUUCAGGUGUACAGCAAAGUGUUUCAUAUAUACAUAUGUAUAUAUAUACACACACACAUAUAUUCUUUUUCUUAUUCUUUUCCAUUAUAAGUUAUCACAAGAUAUUGAAUAUAGUUUUCUGUUCUACACAGUAGGUCCUUGUUGCUUAUCUCUUUUAUAUAUAGUAGUGUGUAUCUGUUAAUCCCACACCCCUAAUUUAUCCUCUCCUCUUCCUUUCCCUUUUGGUAACCAUAAAUUUGUUUUCUAUGUCUGGGAGUCUCUUUCUGUUUCAUAAAUAAGUUUAUUUGUAUCAUUUUUUUUUAGAUUCCACAUAUAAGAGAUAUUAUAUAAUAUUUGUCUCUCUCUCUGUCUUACUUCACUUAGUAUGAUAAUCUCUAUGUCCAUCCAUGUUGCUGCAAAUGGCAUUAUUUUGUUCUUUUUUAUGGCUGAGUAGUAUUCCAGUGUGUGUGUGUGAGCGCUGUCUCACAUCUUCAUCCCCUCAUCUGUUGAUGGGCAUUUAAUUUGUUUCUGUGUCUUGGCUGUUGUGAAUAGUGCUUCAAUGAUGCAUGGAUAUUUGCAAAUUAGAGUUUUUGAGAGACAGCUUCUUAACUGCUCCACCUGCCUCCAGGGUUUCUGGAAAAAAGUACAUCUUCUCUAACAAGAGCCCUCCUGGUCUAGUUUGACUUAAUAUCCAAAUCAGAGCUGACUAUGCCCAGGCCCUCCAACCAUACUCACACGCAGCUUCGGGGCACACACACUGCCCCCCAUACUCGUAGACUUUCCUUUCUUUUCCUUGCUUCUUUUUCACUUUGGAGUUUUUGUGCUCAGUGUACUGUCUACCUGGAACUGGCCUCCCCAAGCUCUUAGCACAGCUGCGUCCUUCUUACCUAGUUUUUGGCUCAGGUGUCAGCUGCACAGAGAGGCCUCAUCUGGCUUCUUAGGCGGAAGAAUCUAAGGCUUCUCCAGGCUCUCCUUGCAUCCCAGCACAGAGGAGCAUUAUCUAAAAUGACCGUUUGUUUUCUUGUUUGUUUUACCUCUUUCCCAGGAGAAUAUGAGUCUGCUAGUUGGGGGAAUUUUGUUCCUAAUGUUUUCUUGGAAACUCAAAGAAGAGCCAGGCAUGCAGUUGGUUGUUAGUCAAUCUUGGCCAAAGGAAUGAACGUAACACACAGCAUACACCUGUCAGGCGAGGUCCACACUCCCUGCAAACACAAACCCACUUGCACACACUUCACCAACUCCCCCAAGCCUACACAACUGCAUAUGUGGACAGACUCACACAUAAACCUAGCUGGGCCCCCCUCACCUGAGAGGGAAUGGGGGCAGGGGGGGAGUGGGCUGAUAUGUCUUGUUUCUGGUUGACCUUCCUCUUCAGAGCUGUGUUCUGGAAUCGCUGAGAUGUUUCCCACAGGGAAGUGAAAAAACAAAGAGUUUUGCAAGAGAGAAAGAGAGAGGACUGGCUGAGUGCCAGUGGCUGGUUGGGCUGGGGCGGGGGUCAAGGAGGAUUUGAGCUGUCACCCAGUCCAGCCGCCAGCUCUGCUCCAGAUAUCUCAGUGUGACUUGGAGAGAGGGGGUCACAGACCCUCAGAAGGGCUUGGAUCUGGGCUCAUGUAACUCACCCUUUUGCUUCCAGCCAUGCCCCACACUGGGCCCUCUUGAGGGCUCAGGGGAUAUUUGAGAAGUAAGUCUUAAAGUUUGAGAUGAGGCCACCGGUUUUUGCCAUGUCGCCUUGGGUGAAUUCUCUCAGGUGAGCACCCAGACAUUCCUAAAAUGACAGCUGAUUCAGUUAAACAGUAAUCUGUAAGCCAGGUGGGCCCUGAUAGUCACCUUGCCAGCCACUGUUAUGAGCUACCAUGUCCCAGGAGAUGAAUCAGAUAGGUCUAAGGAAAUCCUAUUUCUUGUUGAUCUGAGGUGUGUGUGAGACCCAGUUCUAGCUAAUGAGAUGUUAGGGGACUCUGCUGGGGGCAGAUGUCCCCCCUUAAUAAGAGAGAAGUACAUGAGAAGAAAUCUCUUUCUGCCUCAUCCUUCUUUCCUGCUUGGUUCACUGUUGUGUGAAGGAGUCACAGCAACCAUUUUAUGACUAUGAGGUUGACCCAUGUGACUAUAUAGCUGACCCACUGAGAUUGUAGGGCAGAAAUUUGGUAAGCUCCUAGGUUCUUGAUUGCGGAGCUCAAAUCAUCCUGAAACUGAUGCUUUCCAGACUUCUUACUAUAUGAGACCAUUAUGUUUCUUCAUACCUAUUACUUAUAGCCCAAAGCAUCCCAACUCAUUCAUAGACAUUUUUAUGUGGCCUUCUCUUCCCUGCCUCCUUCCCCCUCAACUAGGCAGUUCUAACUCAGUCUGCAGAGCUCAGCUCUAAUGCCACUUCCUCAGAGGAGCCUGCCCUGAUUCUCUCCCCUCAAGAGCAAAUCAUGUUUGCCUGCUUUGCGUCUCCCAGCAUCACAUGCCUUUGAAACCCCUGCAGCUGAACAAUUGAUAAAUGUCAAUUGCAUACACCACAAGAUUGGGCUUGCUUUCACUCAUAGCUGUGCCUCACACAAGACUUGUGCAUGAAUGUUCAGAGUCACUUUCUUUGUCAUAGUCCCAAACUGGAAAUAGACCAAUGGCUCAUUGACAGGUGAAUGGAUAAGAAAACAGUGGAUUAUCCACAUAAAGGACCACAACUCAACAAGAAUAAGAAAUUAAUAUUGAUAUGCACCCACUAUGGAUAACGCUCAGCAUAACUAGGCAACAUGAAAGAAAUCAGACAAGAAGAGGGCAAACUGGGCUGAGAAUGGACUAGAGUGGGAGCAGGGGACCCUGGAGCCCAGUGAGGAGAACAUCACUCUCAGUGCAAAAGCCCAAGUCCUUAUAAAGUCCCACCAGAUUCAUACGAUCUGGCCCUGAGCCCCCUCUGAUUGCAUUUUCUCCCCCUCUCCAUCCACUCCAGCCCUCACAGCCUCUGCCCUGCUUCCAGAACCCACCAGGCAUACUCCUUCCGCAAGACUUUUGCACUGUCUAUUCCUGCUCCCCUAGAUCCAAACAUGGCUCAAACCCCCUGCUGCCUUCAAGUCUUUGCCCAAAUGUCACCUCCACAGAGAGGCCUGCCCAGAUUUCUUCUCUGUCUCCAAGGACUCCAGACUUCUCUUCAGUCUUGUCUUUUGCUUGAUUUCUUGUUAGCCCCAGCCUCCCUUGGUUAUGUACAUGCAAAUGACAACAUGGAUGACUCUCAGAACAAUUAUGCUAAAUGAAAGAAGUUAGGGGAAUUCCUUAGGUGGUCUUGGGUUAGGAUUCGGUAUUUUUACUGCUGCUGCCCAGGUUCCAUCCCUGGUCUGAGAACUGAGAUCCCGCACCAAGCUGCUGCACAAAGUUAGACACAAAAGGAGGACCUACUGUGUGAUUCCGUUUAGAUGAAAU